This is a long non-coding RNA of Passer montanus (Eurasian tree sparrow), 293 nucleotides long. RefSeq lists it as uncharacterized. The record is from RefSeq and is a predicted model, not a curated record. NCBI's taxonomy places the organism in Eukaryota, Metazoa, Chordata, Aves, Passeriformes, Passeridae. The transcript is spliced from 4 exons.
GCAAAGUACAAUUGGGCAAUGCUUCACAGAAAGACUCUUACAAAUGACUGGAAGCCUUCCAUACAUGAAGAUGAUGGUUUAUUAUCUGUUUCAGCUGUGUCUCAUAUGGAUUCAUAAAUACAGUGCACCGCCAGCCGGAACUACUGCAACUAUGAAAGAAGCUGCUCUUACUUUGUGAGACCAAACUUCAUUAAUAUUUUAAAGAAUUAUGCAAAUAAGAAAAUAACCAGUCUGAAGAAAUGACUAUGUGUGAUAUCACUUCCUUCCAGAACUGGAGAUGUAAUAAAGUGGAC